AUGGCAACCAACACCCGCCCCAUCGUCUCGGUGAAGGCCCUGGAGGGUGACAUGACCACCGACUGCGCCGGCCUCGCCCUUGCCGAGGUCUUCCGCUCGCCGAUCCGCCCCGACGUUGUCCGCUCAGCCCACAGGUUGCUCUCCUGCAACAAGCGCCAGCCCUACGCCGUCUCCCGUCGCGCCGGACACCAGACCUCGGCCGAGUCUUGGGGCACGGGGCGUGCGGUGUCACGUAUUCCUCGUGUCCCUGGAGGCGGAACACACCGCGCUGGCCAGGGGGCCUUCGGCAACAUGUGCUGUGGGGGACGUAUGUUCGCACCCACCAAGACCUGGCGCAAGUGGCACCGCCGCGUCAACGUCCACAUGCGACGUGUCGCCGUCACCUCCGCCCUCGCCGCCACCGCCGUCCCAGCCCUUGUCCUCGCCCGCGGUCACCGCAUCGAAACCGUCCCUGAGAUGCCCCUUGUCAUUUCUGACUCGGCGGAGUCCAUCGAGAAGACUUCUCAGGCCAUCAAGAUCCUGAAGCAGACCGGUGCCUAUGCUGAUGCUGAGAAGGCCCAGGACUCUGUUGGCAUCCGAACUGGCAAGGGUAAGAUGCGCAACCGCCGAUACAUCAACCGCAAGGGGCCUCUCGUUGUCUACGGCACUGAGGGAUCGAAGAUCGUCAAGGCCUUCCGCAACCUGCCUGGUGUGGAUGUCGCCAACGUUGAGCGCCUCAACCUUCUCGACCUUGCCCCUGGUGGCCACCUUGGGCGGUUUGUAAUCUGGACGCAAAUCGCAUUCAAGAAGUUGGAGGAGGUGUAUGGCACCUUUGAUGCGCCUUCACAGAGGAAUGGCUUCUUUCUGCCAAGGCCCAAGAUGACCAACGCUGACCUUGGCAGGAUCAUCAACUCUGAUGAGGUGCAGUCUGUCGUUAAGCCAACCAACAAGGAGAUAAAGCUCAGGAAGAAGAGGAGGAACCCGCUCAAGAAUGUGGCUGCAGUGCUCAAGCUGAACCCCUACUUUGGCACUGCCCGCAGGAUGGCUACCCUCGUGGAAGCUGCUCGCAUGAAGGCAAGGAAGGAGAAGAUUGCUUCCAAGAGGACCAGGCUUAGCCCGGAGGAAGCUGCCAAGGUCAAGGCUGCUGGCAAAGCAUGGUACGAGACCAUGAUAUCCGACAGUGACUACACUGAGUUUGAUGUCUUCUCGAAGUGGCUCGGUGUGUCGCAGUAA
Molecule: ribosomal RNA, 1212 nt
Filed under: Triticum aestivum (bread wheat)
Lineage: Eukaryota; Viridiplantae; Streptophyta; Magnoliopsida; Poales; Poaceae
Description: partial small subunit ribosomal RNA
Source: RNAcentral